AACGGCCGUACCAUGCUGAAUAUACCGGUUCUCGUUAGAUCACCGAAGUUAAGCAUCAUUGGGCGCAGUCAGUACUUGGGUGGGUGACCACCUGGGAACACCGCGUGCCGUU
This is a non-coding RNA of Caerostris darwini, 112 nucleotides long. The record is from the annotation of a GenBank genome assembly. NCBI's taxonomy places the organism in Eukaryota, Metazoa, Arthropoda, Arachnida, Araneae, Araneidae.